Molecule: long non-coding RNA, 1171 nt
Organism: Rhipicephalus microplus (southern cattle tick)
Lineage: Eukaryota; Metazoa; Arthropoda; Arachnida; Ixodida; Ixodidae
Source: RefSeq, a predicted model, not a curated record
CGAGGCAUCCGCUGAGAACGACGAUUUUCUGGAGUGCUGGGCUCGAAUGGCAGCCAGUUCGCUCCACCAUCCAGUGGGAACGGUCGCCAUGGGUGAAGCGUCGGACCCGUCCGCGGUGGUCGAUGGACAUUUCAGGGUGAGAGGCGUGGAGCGAUUACGUGUCGUCGAUGCAUCGGUCAUACCAUUUGCACUGUCAAGUACACCGCACUCUGUUGUGAUGCUGCUUGCAGAGCGAGCUGCCGAAAUAAUCAGCAGGUCUUAACACAGCUGCUGAAGAAAGAUUGUAAUCCCAGCUGACCACAAGACAAGUGAAGCAGCCGCCUUCAUUCGGGCCGGUGCACUUUAAGAAAAAACUUUCUCACUGCCCAGGGUUUCUCCGACCCACUGCGCAACCAUCACGCAUUAAUUCUGUGAGUGGCAAUUGUGCCGCGGACACGCUAAGGAUUGCCUUCCGAAACUAUGAACUCCUCGGCAUAUUUGCGUCUUUUCAUUCUCGAUUUUCCGAUGAACGUGGUACAGUUUCCAUCUUCAGCGUUGUCGCAAAAGAGCACCGACAAAACGCCGCAAAUUCUGUAGGAAUUCGGGGUAUUACGUACUCAGCGCUCAUGCUGCUCUCAAUGUGGUUGCUGUGAAAAUGGGCUUUACACCAUCUAAAGGUAUAGAAGAACGAUGUGUGAGUCUUGUUACUUUACACUGUGAUCACCAGGCGUGCACUCUCCCGUGAGUUUUUUUCAACAUAUUUUUCGCAUUUAUUUACUGUUUCACUUGAGCUGUAACGCGAAAACUGCUCAGGAAUGCAGUCUACUGUUCAGUUGAACACCGAUAAUGCAACAAAGCUAACCACGACUUGAUCUUGCAAAAAAAUAUUUGUUUACAAUAACACUACUUGUGCCUCCGAAUGCGCGUAUUGACAAUCUUGUGUUCCAAUGAAUACAUGAUUUGGCCCGAUAUAUACAAAAAAAAGAGAGGUGAAAUGUCUUAGAGAGACCCUUUUAAUGUUAUGUCAUGAAUAAUUAUUAAGCGUACACGCUGUGAAUAUUAACUUUCUGAAUAGCUCAAAUUCCGCUCAACAAAUUUUAAUUUAAAAAAAGCCACGACAAGCGAGAUACGGGGAUUCAAUAAAAUUGCACGAUACGGCCUCGCGAAGCUUUAAGAAACAGAAUGCGCUAUU